Long non-coding RNA from Empidonax traillii (willow flycatcher), 235 nucleotides. RefSeq lists it as uncharacterized. Lineage: Eukaryota; Metazoa; Chordata; Aves; Passeriformes; Tyrannidae. The transcript has 3 exons. The record is from RefSeq and is a predicted model, not a curated record.
GAUGGCAACAACAGAAAAUAGAGGAGGGAAGUUCCUACCAGGACACUGAUUCUGCUUUACCACAGAUCCAGUGUAAUGGGGCACCUCACUACACAGAAGGUGAUGUUGCAUCAGCACACUGGCAGGAUGCAGAACAAUGGGGAGAAACUGGAACUUUAAAGAAAAUUAAGUGACCUGUGUCAGACAUCCACCUUAAGGAGGGAUCAAUUACCCUCUGGAAAUACCUGUUUCUCCU